GUCGAGGAUCAUUCGCAAUGCGCGAAAGCGUGACGAUGCGACGCUGCGUGGAGGAUGACGGCCUUCGGGUUGUAAACUCCUGUCACCGGGGAAAAACGGUCCCGCGGCGAACAGCCGCGGGAGAUGAUGGUACCCGGGGAGGAAGCCACGGCUAACUCUGUGCCAGCAGCCGCGGUAAUACAGAGGUGGCGAGCGUUGUUCGGAUUUACUGGGCGUAAAGCGUGCGUAGGCGGCGGGGCGUGUCGGACGUGAAAGCCCGGGGCUCAACCCCGGAACGGCGUCCGCGACUGCCUUGCUAGAGCGCAGGAAGGGAGAGCGGAAUUCACGGUGUAGCGGUGAAAUGCGUUGAUAUCGUGAAGAACACCGGUGGCGAAGGCGGCUCUCUGGAAUGUGGCUGACGCUGAGGCACGAAAGCGUGGGGAGCAAACAGGAUUAGAUACCCUAGUAGUCC
Molecule: ribosomal RNA, 451 nt
Filed under: uncultured bacterium
Lineage: Bacteria
Description: bacterial SSU rRNA
Rfam family: Bacterial small subunit ribosomal RNA
Source: RNAcentral